Pezoporus occidentalis (night parrot) is the source of this 610-nucleotide long non-coding RNA. RefSeq lists it as uncharacterized. The transcript is spliced from 2 exons. Lineage: Eukaryota; Metazoa; Chordata; Aves; Psittaciformes; Psittacidae. The record is from RefSeq and is a predicted model, not a curated record.
CAACGUGGGCAUCCGGAGAAGUCGCUCUCUCCAGGCUCUGCCCGUGUGGCGCAUGGGAGCGUAGGCCCCCGGGCCCGUGACGUAUGGUCCCGUUCCACGCCGUUGGAGAACAAGCCGGGCCUCGAGCCUGCAGCCUGCAUAUUCCUACUGCUUCUCUGAGCCCUUGGGCAUUGACAGAGGAGAUAAACCAUGCAGGAAACAAACCCCAUGCUCUGCAUGGCCUGGGGGGUGCAUGGCAGGGGGAGAAGGGGGAACACGUGAACAAACACGUCAGAUGCAUUUUCUCUUUGUUUCCAGUUCUAAACUGAAGAAGUUGGAGAGCGAAGCACUGCUUUAGGAGGUGCUGCUGAUGCUGCCCCGUCCUGCUCUACGUAGCUCCGGACGUGAGUACCUGCUGUGCUGUGUGCCUGGGGAGCAGGGCAGGGCUGGGGCUGGGGCUGAAGGUGUGGGUCAGCUCACUCCAACGUGGGCAUCCGGAGAAGUCGCUCUCUCCAGGCUCUGCCCGUGUGGCGCAUGGGAGCGUAGGCCCCCGGGCCCGUGACGUAUGGUCCCGUUCCACGCCGUUGGAGAACAAGCCGGGCCUCGAGCCUGCAGCCUGCAUAUUCCUACU